RNAcentral lists this ribosomal RNA (301 nucleotides) under uncultured bacterium. RNAcentral's name for it is "partial 16S ribosomal RNA". It matches the Rfam family "Bacterial small subunit ribosomal RNA", at positions 509 to 807 of the family's 1533-position model. The record is from RNAcentral.
CAGUAGCCGCGGGAAUACGAAGGGUGCAAGCGUUAAUCGGAAUUACUGGGCGUAAAGCGUGCGCAGGCGGUUGUGUAAGACAGGUGUGAAAUCCCCGGGCUUAACCUGGGAACUGCGCUUGUGACUGCACAGCUAGAGUAUGGCAGAGGAGGGUGGGAUUCCACGUGUAGCAGUGAAAUGCGUAGAGAUGUGGAGGAACACCGAUGGCGAAGGCAGCCCCCUGGGCCAAUACUGACGCUCAUGCACGAAAGCGUGGGGAGCAAACAGGAUUAGAUACCCGUGUAGUCCCUGUCUCUUAUAC